UACGAGGGGGGCAAGCGUUGUUCGGAAUUAUUGGGCGUAAAGGGCGCGUAGGCGGUGCGGUAAGUCUGAUGUGAAAUCUCACAGCUUAACUGUGAAACUGCAUUGGAUACUAUCCGGCUCGAGGAAUGGAGGGGAGACUGGAAUACUUGGUGUAGCAGUGAAAUGCGUAGAUAUCAAGUGGAACACCAGUGGCGAAGGCGAGUCUCUGGACAUUUCCUGACGCUGAGGCACGAAAGCCAGGGGAGCAAACGGG
This 253-nucleotide ribosomal RNA is filed under the name uncultured bacterium. RNAcentral describes it as "partial 16S ribosomal RNA". It matches the Rfam family "Bacterial small subunit ribosomal RNA", at positions 524 to 776 of the family's 1533-position model. The record is from RNAcentral.